RNAcentral lists this ribosomal RNA (253 nucleotides) under uncultured bacterium. Its description in RNAcentral is "partial 16S ribosomal RNA". It matches the Rfam family "Bacterial small subunit ribosomal RNA", at positions 524 to 776 of the family's 1533-position model. The record is from RNAcentral.
UACGGAGGGGGCAAGCGUUGUUCGGAAUUACUGGGCGUAAAGGGUUCGUAGGUGGCCAACUAAGUCAGACGUGAAAUCCCUCAGCUUAACCGGGGAACUGCGUCCGAUACUGGAUGGCUUGAGAUUGGGAGAGGGAUGCGGAAUUCCAGGUGUAGCGGUGAAAUGCGUAGAUAUCUGGAGGAACACCGGUGGCGAAGGCGGCAUCCUGGACCAACACUGACGCUGAUGAGCGAAAGCCAGGGGAGCAAACGGG